UACGUAGGUGGCGAGCGUUAUCCGGAAUGAUUGGGCGUAAAGGGUGCGUAGGCGGCCUGCUAAGUCUGGAGUGAAAGGUACCGGCUCAACCGGUACAGGCUCUGGAAACUGGUGGGCUAGAGAGCAGGAGAGGGCGGUGGAACUCCAUGUGUAGCGGUGAAAUGCGUAGAUAUAUGGAGGAACACCGGUGGCGAAAGCGGCUCUCUGGCCUGUAACUGACACUGAGGCUCGAAAGCGUGGGGAGCAAACAGG
Molecule: ribosomal RNA, 252 nt
Filed under: uncultured bacterium
Lineage: Bacteria
Description: partial 16S ribosomal RNA
Rfam family: Bacterial small subunit ribosomal RNA
Source: RNAcentral